Molecule: non-coding RNA, 1509 nt
Organism: Drosophila suzukii
Lineage: Eukaryota; Metazoa; Arthropoda; Insecta; Diptera; Drosophilidae
Source: RefSeq, a predicted model, not a curated record
AAAUUAUUUGUAAAUAAUAUAAGUACUUCUCCUAAUUGCCUUUCUCUGUCAUUUCUUGAUUUACCCCUUUUUGGGUGGGGUCCCAUAGUACUCAGUUCGAAAAGUGUACAAUAUACCCAGUUCGCAAAUGCCCGAUAUUAUGGCCCAUAAACUAUAUUUGCGAAAACAAAACACUCUGGCGAUCGCCGCAAAAAAGUUAUGUUGAUUCUCGGCUGAUUUAGUGCGAACACGUCCGUAGAUCAGUCCUUGCAACGACACACAAUCGAUUGGCUAACCCAUUUCGGGGGAUUGUCGGUCUGCCACGCUUUACCUACGGAUAAGGCCUUAGCUCACCGACCCGGCUUCCAUCCCGGGAUCUUAAAUCCGAAUCCGAAUUCAAGCCCGAACCCAAAAACCGAAUUAGAAUGGCGAACAAUUAAUGGACGGCUCCAACGAUUUCGGGAUAGCCAAGGUCGCGGAGCAUGGAACUUCUAGGACUGCUUGUCGGCACAGAUCAAGUUUAUUUCUGGGUUGGGCACCCACUAUUGUUUCGGCGUUGCCAUAACUUGUAAUCUUUUUAUAGAUAAUGUAAACAAGUUGGAAAAUGCGAAAUUUAAAUUGAGCAUUAACAUAUAGUAUACAAAGAUCAAAGCAGGUGGAAAUUUUAAGUUUAUAACAAUGUUCUCCAUUGCAAUGACUAAUAUUCUCAACUGACAUUCAACUCCGCCCAGAACACCCGUGUGUGGUUUCCAUCGGAUCUGGUCCAUCUGGCUUGAGGCAUCCUGUUUGCAUUGAUGCAUGCAAAUCUACAUGGGUUUCCCCACUUCGUUUAUGCUUUGCAUUUUCAAUUUGUAUCGAAUUUGUAUUUUUGAGAAAUUUUCAAUCAGAAUGAUCGGAUCGAGUUCAGUUCUAGUUGUGCGUUUCAGCGAAAAACCAAUGACGAAAUGUUGAAAAAACUAAAAUAAACAAUUUGUCAUCGGGGGGGUGGGUGGUUGAUAGUUAAGUGUUGCUAAGAUCGCAGUUCGCAGGCAGUCGCACGUCUGCCACUUUUGAUGUGCUGGCCAAAAAAAACAUAUUCUGCGCACGUUCGCUCCUCUGACGUCUGCGCCUGCGCUGUAAGAGAGCUUUUGAGUUACGAGCCUCUAGCUCCCACCUCCCAUCUGCCCACUACCCGCCCCUCGGCCACCCAGCUCCUUGCCUAGAUGGCCGCCACAAUUGUUGCUGUGCGGUUUCAGUUUCAUUUCCGGUGGCAGGCAACGGACGGCGCUUAAAGCGCGUUUUAUAUUUGCUUUUUUCUUACAAGCCAGCAACACACACUCAUAUCACGAAAUGACCAUUUUCGGAUUGGAAUUAAUUUUCUGUGUUUGCUUUUCGAAAUGUAUAUGAUUCGGAUUCUGAUUGCGAUGAAAUCAGUGAUUCAUCCAGGAGUACAGUCAUUAUUCAAUAUGCAUAGAGGAAGGCGGCUCAAUACGGAUAGGUGUUAGCUUGGCACUAUCACUUAAUUGAAAGUUAAGUGAAAAGUUAGUUGUA